RNAcentral lists this ribosomal RNA (465 nucleotides) under uncultured bacterium. RNAcentral's name for it is "partial 16S ribosomal RNA". It matches the Rfam family "Bacterial small subunit ribosomal RNA", at positions 338 to 795 of the family's 1533-position model. The record is from RNAcentral.
CCUACGGGUGGCAGCAGUAGGGAAUCUUCCACAAUGGACGCAAGUCUGAUGGAGCAACGCCGCGUGAGUGAAGACGGGUUUCGGCUCGUUAAGCUCCUUUGGUAGUGGAGUAAGAUAGAGGUCGUAACUCGCCUUUAUUUUACGGUAAUUACUUAGAUAGUCACGGCUAAUUACGUGCCAGCAGCCGCGGUAAUACGUAGGUGGCAAGCGUUGUCCGGAUUUAUUGGGCGUAAAGGGAGUGCAGGUGGUUCAAUAAGUCUGAUGUGAAAGCCUUCGGCUCAACCGGAGAAUUGCAUCAGAAACUGGUGAACUUGAGUGCAGAAGAGGAGAGUGGAACUCCAUGUGUAGCGGUGGAAUGCGUAGAUAUAUGGAAGAACACCAGUGGCGAAGGCGGCUCUCUAAUCUGCAACUGACGCUGAGGCUCGAAAGCAUGGGUAGCGAACAGGAUUAGAUACCCGGGUAGUC